Molecule: ribosomal RNA, 468 nt
Filed under: uncultured bacterium
Lineage: Bacteria
Description: partial 16S ribosomal RNA
Rfam family: Bacterial small subunit ribosomal RNA
Source: RNAcentral
GACGAACGCUGGCGGCGUGCUUAAUACAUGCAAGUCGAACGGAAAGGCCCUGCUGUUGUUGGGUGCUCGAGUGGCGAACGGGUGAGUAACACGUGAGUAACCUGCGCUUAACUGUGGGAUAACUGCAGGAAACUGGGGCUAAUACCGGAUAGGAGCUCCUGCUGCUUGUUGUGGGUUGGAAAGUUUCGGCGGUUGGGGAUGGACUCGCGGCUUAUGGGCUUGUUGGUGGGGUAGUGGCUUACGAAGGUUUUGACGGGUAGGCGGCAUGAGAGGGUGACCGGCGACAUUGGGACUGAGGGACGGACCAGACGGGUACGGGAGGCAGCGGUGGGGAGUAUUGCGGAGUGGGGGGGAGCGUGAUGCAGCGGCGCCGCGUGCGGGAUGACGGGCUUCGGGUUGUGAACCGCUGUGGCCUGUGACGAGGCGUGAGUGACGGUAAUGGGUAAAGAAGCACCGGCUAACUACGUG